GUUGUCCCCUUUUUUCUGGUAACUUGUAUUUAGGCAAAGCUGAGAUCAACUGUCUAGUCUUUAUCCUUCUAAAUACCUGUCUCAAAGCUGAGAAUUUAGUUGGAAAGAUUUAAGUCUGCUUCAUCAUCUGUGGAAGUGAUUUCACAGUUGAUUGUCUAUAGUGCAAUCAAGGAGCAACCCAAAAUGAAAUCAUUUUGAGAAAAGUGCUGUUGGAAUCUACUGACUCCAUCCAAUAAAAACAGAGAAAAGUCAUUUUGCCUUGUCAUGGCUGAUGCAAACAAAAUUAGCUUUCAAAUUUAUACUAUUUAAAAUUGCACAUGUUAUAAAACAUGUUUUGCAGGAAGGAAAAAGAAGGAAAUUGCUG
This 364-nucleotide unclassified non-coding RNA is filed under the name Hevea brasiliensis (rubber tree). The record is from RNAcentral. Lineage: Eukaryota; Viridiplantae; Streptophyta; Magnoliopsida; Malpighiales; Euphorbiaceae.